Molecule: long non-coding RNA, 1222 nt
Filed under: Phascolarctos cinereus (koala)
Lineage: Eukaryota; Metazoa; Chordata; Mammalia; Diprotodontia; Phascolarctidae
Description: lncRNA (ENSPCIG00000023003.2)
Source: RNAcentral
CUCAGUUGACAAUUUCCCAUUUAUCCUGUCUAUAGCUUGCUCCUACAUAUAUGCUCCUUGUCUCUCCCACUUGAUUAUAAGUUCCUUGAGGGCAAAGCCUACCUUUCGCCCCUUUACAUAUACCCAGAGCUUAACACGGUGCCUGGCACACAGCAGGCGUUUAAUAAAUAUCGAUGGUGUCUCUGUUAUUUCCUAUUUCUCCUGUCUAUAGCUUGUUCCUGCAUAUGUUUGCUUGUCUCCCCCAUUGCACUGUAAGCUCCUCGAGGGCAGGGGCUGCCUUUUGCCUCUUUUUGUCUCCCCAGCGCUUAGCACAGACCCUGGGCACACAAUAGGCGCUUAAUAAAUGCGUGACGCCUUGACCAGAUAGGUUGACGGACACCCAAACAGACUCCCCGGAGCCCAGAACCCAGGCUCCCGCUGCUGCAGACCGGAGGAAAGUCCGGUUGUCGGCGGUACGGGUAUCCCGCCCCACCUUUCCCAGGCUCCGCUUGCCACCGACCAGCCCUCCCGACACAACCCCAAUCACAGCAGCGCGCGCGCGGCACUCCCGGCGUGGGCUUUACCUCCAGAUCGAGUGGGGUCCAGAUUCCUGGGAGCGGAGUCCGCCGCACAGCUGCGCCUGCGCACACGCCAGCGGUCGAACUACCCGCAGCCUUCUUCGGGCCUCUUCCGCUUCCUCCGUCCAGACUUCAUUUCCCAAAGGCCUCGGGGGCGCUCCGUUCCCGGGCAGGCUUGGAGAUAGAUGCUGGGAAACGGAAUCUGAGCUUGUCCCUACGGAUUCUGGGAAAUACAGUCCCCGCUGGACCACUUCUUGGCAGAGGUGACGUGCUGAAGCAUGAUCAAAGAAUGUUAAUUGAGACGAGAACAAGAGCAAAUUGCCACCCAAUGAGAUGCCAUAUUGGGGCAAGGAAAGACCACCAUACUAAUUCAGGAUGUCAACCUGAUAAAAGGCAUCAUGUGCAGAGACUAUGAAAGUCAGACACAGCUUUAAAGGAAUACUACUUGGUGGGUAACUCAUUCCUCUGUGGUCUCCACUAACUCUUAGAUUUCUUUCACCAUCAUACCCCAGCAGCUUUCUCACCCUGGAAGAUGCCUCUACCACCAAGUCCCAAAAGCCUUCUUAUACAAGAAGUUCCCUCUGCAGGGAGAUCCCUGUGGUACCUUCCUCCGGUUAGUCAGUUUUCCUAAGAACAUUUAUUUUAAGGAAGCAUCCAGGCCAGCC